RNAcentral lists this ribosomal RNA (253 nucleotides) under uncultured bacterium. Its description in RNAcentral is "partial 16S ribosomal RNA". It matches the Rfam family "Bacterial small subunit ribosomal RNA", at positions 524 to 776 of the family's 1533-position model. The record is from RNAcentral.
UACGAAGGGGGCUAGCGUUGUUCGGAAUUACUGGGCGUAAAGCGCACGUAGGCGGCUUUGUAAGUUAGAGGUGAAAGCCUGGGGCUCAACUCCAGAACUGCCUUUAAGACUGCAUCGCUUGAAUCAUGGAGAGGCGGGUGGAAUUCCGAGUGUAGAGGUGAAAUUCGUAGAUAUUCGGAAGAACACCAGUGGCGAAGGCGGCCCGCUGGACAUGUAUUGACGCUGAGGUGCGAAAGCGUGGGGAGCAAACAGG